UGCAAGUCGAACGCGAAAUUUCCCUUCGGGGAGAAAGUAGAGUGGCGCACGGGUGAGUAACACGUGGAUAAUUUGCCUUCGGGUGGGGAAUAACAACCGGAAACGGUUGCUAAUACCGCAUAAUGCAGCGGCAUCUAUGAUGACAGUUGUUAAAGCGGGGGAUCGCAAGACCUCGCGCCUGAAGAGAAGUCCGCGGCAGAUUAGCUAGUUGGUAGGGUAAUGGCCUACCAAGGCAACGAUCUGUAGCCGGCCUGAGAGGGCGGUCGGCCACACUGACACUGACAUACGGGUCAGACUCCUACGGGAGGCAGCAGUCGGGAAUUUUGGGCAAUGGGCGAAAGCCUGACCCAGCAACGCCGCGUGAAGGAUGAAGCAUUUCGGUGUGUAAACUUCACAAGAAUGGGAAGAAUAAGUGCGGGAUAAUACCCCUCACGGUGACGGUACCAUUUGUAAGCUCCGGCUAACUCCGUGCCAGCAGCCGCGGUAAUACGGGGGGAGCAAGCGUUGUUCGGAUUUACUGGGCGUAAAGGGCGCGUAGGCGGCGCGACAAGUCACUUGUGAAAUCUCCGGGCUCAACUCGGAACGGUCAAGUGAUACUGUCAUGCUAGAGUGCGGAAGGGGCAACUGGAAUUCUCGGUGUAGCGGUGAAAUGCGUAGAUAUCGAGAGGAACACCUGCGGCGAAGGCGGGUUGCUGGGCCGACACUGACGCUGAGGCGCGAAAGCCAGGGGAGCGAACGGGAUUAGAUACCCCGGUAGUCCUGGCCUUAAACGAUGAAUGCUUGGUGUCCGGGGUUUGAUAGUCCCCGGGUGCCGUCGCUAACGCUUUAAGCAUUCCGCCUGGGGAGUACGGUCGCAAGACUGAAACUCAAAGGAAUUGACGGGGACCCGCACAAGCGGUGGAG
Molecule: ribosomal RNA, 903 nt
Filed under: uncultured Acidobacteriaceae bacterium
Lineage: Bacteria; Pseudomonadati; Acidobacteriota; Terriglobia; Terriglobales; Acidobacteriaceae
Description: bacterial SSU rRNA
Rfam family: Bacterial small subunit ribosomal RNA
Source: RNAcentral